AUGAGGUCCACUCCAUCACACACCAUGAGCCGAACAUUGGAGCAUCUAGUUCUGCUGCUACUAAUAGCUGUCUGCUAUGUCCACAUGGAGCAGCUCAACCAGCCAGUUUCUCUGAAUAUCCAGCCUGGUCAAAGCUUGACCAUCAACUGUAAAGUCUCCUAUUCAGUUACUAGCUAUGGCACAGCUUGGAUUCGACAGCCAUCAGGAAAAGCUCUGGAGUGGAUCAAUAUUAUCUGGGGUGGUGGUAGCACAGCACAUAAAGACUCCCUGAAGAACAAGUUCAGCGUCUCCAGAGACACCUCCAGUAACACAAUCACCCUGCGAGGGCAAAACAUGCAGCCUGGAGACACAGCUGUGUAUUACUGUGCUCGACACCCACAAUGUUAA
This is a non-coding RNA of Alosa alosa (allis shad), 387 nucleotides long. Lineage: Eukaryota; Metazoa; Chordata; Actinopteri; Clupeiformes; Clupeidae. The record is from the annotation of a RefSeq genome assembly.